GAGGCUAUGGUGUAGUGGUAACACAGAAGCUUGUGGAGCUUUUAUCUCCGGUUCGAAUCCGGAUAGCCUCCCCC
RNAcentral lists this transfer RNA (74 nucleotides) under Candidatus Nomurabacteria bacterium RIFCSPLOWO2_12_FULL_46_14. RNAcentral describes it as "tRNA-His". It matches the Rfam family "tRNA". Rfam says of the family: Transfer RNA (tRNA) molecules are approximately 80 nucleotides in length. Their secondary structure includes four short double-helical elements and three loops (D, anti-codon, and T loops). The record is from RNAcentral. Lineage: Bacteria; Candidatus Nomuraibacteriota.